Molecule: small nucleolar RNA, 135 nt
Organism: Dipodomys ordii (Ord's kangaroo rat)
Lineage: Eukaryota; Metazoa; Chordata; Mammalia; Rodentia; Heteromyidae
Source: Ensembl
AGGCAUAUCCGUAGACCUUGCCUUACUCGGAUCAUGGUCAGGUAGGGGGGACAGUGUAUGCCAGAGUGAUUGGAGUUCAUGCCAUCUCUUAUCAGCUUAAUCAGUGGCUUGAUAAAUUGCAGGACUCCAACAUUC